Molecule: ribosomal RNA, 500 nt
Filed under: uncultured Porphyromonas sp.
Lineage: Bacteria; Pseudomonadati; Bacteroidota; Bacteroidia; Bacteroidales; Porphyromonadaceae
Description: partial 16S ribosomal RNA
Source: RNAcentral
CACGGAGUUAGCCGAUGCUUAUUCGUAGGGUACAUUCACUCCAGUACACGUACUAGUCUUUAUUCCCCUACAAAAGAAGUUUACAAUCCAUAAGGCAGUCAUCCUUCACGCGACUUGGCUGGUUCAGGCUCUCGCCCAUUGACCAAUAUUCCUCACUGCUGCCUCCCGUAGGAGUCUGGUCCGUGUCUCAGUACCAGUGUGGGGGUUCAACCUCUCAGUUCCCCUACCCAUCGUUGCCUUGGUGAGCCGUUACCUCACCAACGAGCUAAUGGGACGCAUGCCUAUCUCACAGCGAAUUUCAUUUCCUUACCAAAGGAUGCCCUCCGAUAAGUGUACGCGGUAUUAGUCCGUCUUUCGACGGGUUAUCCCCUCUGUGAGGCAAGUUGCAUACGCGUUACGCACCCGUGCGCCGGUCGCCAUCAGUCUUAGCAAGCUAAGCCAUGCUGCCCCUCGACUUACAUGUGUUAAGCCUAUCGCUAGCGUUCAUCCUGAGCCAGGUA